Molecule: ribosomal RNA, 368 nt
Filed under: uncultured organism
Description: bacterial SSU rRNA
Rfam family: Bacterial small subunit ribosomal RNA
Source: RNAcentral
CGUAGGUGGCAAGCGUUGUCCGGAUUUAUUGGGUUUAAAGGGUGCGUAGGCGGCCUUAUAAGUCAGUGCUGAAAUAUCCCGGCUUAACCGGGAGGGUGGCAUUGAUACUGUAGGGCUUGAGUGUAGUCGAGGUAGGCGGAAUUGACGGUGUAGCGGUGAAAUGCUUAAAUAUCGUCAAGAACACUGAUAGUGUAGACAGCUUACUAGGCUACAACUGACGCUGAGGCACGAAAGUGUGGGGAUCAAACAGGAUUAGAUACCCUGGUAGUCCACACUGUAAACGUCGAUUACUCGAUGUUGGCGAUACACAGUCAGCGUCUUAGCGCAAGCGAUAAGUAAUCCACCUGGGGAGUACGCCGGCAACGGUG